UUUUAUCUCUCCGAUCUCCAGCUUACUCCAUUUUAACCGCUAUCCUGGACAUGCUGUGUCACUGUCUCUCUGGCUUUUCUCUUCCGUACUUUCUCUUUGCCCAGCUUCUCACCUUCUUCUGGGGUUUUUCACUGUCAAAUGCUGCUGCUGCUUUUCACUCUUUGCUUCCCACUUUUGCAGCUGUCAUCACUCCAGGCCAGCCAUAAAGACCAACUUCCUCUCCGCCAAUUUAAGAGUGCUGCUCGUGACUGCUCGGGUGAUUGCUUUCCACCCCCAGCGCCUACGGAGCUUCCUCUUUAGUUUAUUGAUCUCUCUGAGAUCGGUAAUGCCCUAAAGCGAGCUCUUAGCAAAGAUUUUUCAGGGUUUAGGGACAGAGAUCCAUUCCCUCACCCUGCUCCACGAUGACAUCACUGCCGGAAGUCCUCCGAAAAGAAAGGUUCCGUGCAAUCGAGACAUAGCAGUAUUGUUCUGCAACAGAUUAAAUGCUUUUUACAAUUUGGGUAAAUGGAAUGAGGCUUAUUACUCAGAAGAAGACUGCCUAAAAUGGGAUGCAACUUAUAUUAAGGGGUACUACAGAACAGGUUACUCUCUGAUUAAAUUGUCAAAAUCCCUAAAAGCAGCAGAAAAUUUUUACCAAGGUUUGACUAUUCUCCAGACUUCAUCAGAU
Long non-coding RNA from Ahaetulla prasina, 667 nucleotides. RefSeq lists it as uncharacterized. The record is from RefSeq and is a predicted model, not a curated record. The transcript has 3 exons. Lineage: Eukaryota; Metazoa; Chordata; Lepidosauria; Squamata; Colubridae.